AUGACAAGAGAUGCUUGAGAUGCCGUUAGGCUUGGAACCAAGACCAAAUAUUUGAUUACACACAAGUAACAACACCUCAUACUGAGCAAAGUUUAUCUCAC
Long non-coding RNA from Haliotis rubra (blacklip abalone), 101 nucleotides. RefSeq lists it as uncharacterized. The transcript is spliced from 3 exons. The record is from RefSeq and is a predicted model, not a curated record. Lineage: Eukaryota; Metazoa; Mollusca; Gastropoda; Lepetellida; Haliotidae.